CCGCGANUAGCUNNUUACAAUAGCCGUUGUUUCUUGGAUCCUCAAUUUACUUGGAUACCUGUGGUAAUUCUAGAGCUAAUACAUGCGACUAAGGGCCGAACUCACGUGACGCUUGCAUUUAUUAGAUCAAGACUAACCGGCUUCGGCCGUUAACUUGGUGACUCUGAAUAACUCAGCUGAUCGCACGGUCUAGUGCCGGCGACAUAUCUUUCAAGUGUCUACCUUAUCAACUGUCGAUGGUAGUUUAUGUGACUACCAUGGUUGUAACGGGUAACGGAGAAUCAGGGUUUGACUCCGGAGAGGGAGCCUGAGAAACGGCUACCACUUCUAAGGAAGGCAGCAGGCGCGCAAAUUACACAAUCUCAGCACGAGGAUGUAGUGACGAAACAUACCGAGGCGAUGCCCUUUCGGGUGUCGUCAUUGGAAUGAGUCGAAUCUAAAAAAUUCGGCAAGGAUCUAGUGGAGGGCAAGUCUGGUGCCAGCAGCCGCGGUAAUUCCAGCUCCGCAAGUGUAUAUCUAUGCUGUUGCGGUUAAAAAGCUCGUAGUUUGAUUCGCGUACUUAGCACGCAGUGUGGCCUUUCGGCUACUACUGUGAUGCGGUACAUUAUCGUCAGUUUGUCGUUGAUGCUCUUCAUUGGGUGUCAGCGGCGGCUGUCAAGUUUACUUUGAACAAAUUAAAGUGCUCAAUACAGGCGUUUCGCUUGUAUAGUUCUGCAUGGAAUAAUAGAAUAGGACUUACGUUCUAUUGUGUUGGUUUUCAGAACGAAAGUAAUGAUUAAGAGGGACAGACGGGGUCAUUCGUACUGCCACGUUAGAGGUGAAAUUCUUGGAUCGUGGCAAGACGAACUACUGCGAAAGCAUUUGACAAGAAUGUUUUCAUUAAUCAAGAACGAAAGUUAUGGGU
This 904-nucleotide ribosomal RNA is filed under the name Halomonhystera disjuncta. RNAcentral's name for it is "SSU rRNA". It matches the Rfam family "Eukaryotic small subunit ribosomal RNA", at positions 87 to 997 of the family's 1831-position model. The record is from RNAcentral. Lineage: Eukaryota; Metazoa; Nematoda; Chromadorea; Monhysterida; Monhysteridae.